RNAcentral lists this ribosomal RNA (490 nucleotides) under uncultured bacterium. RNAcentral describes it as "partial 16S ribosomal RNA". It matches the Rfam family "Bacterial small subunit ribosomal RNA", at positions 30 to 507 of the family's 1533-position model. The record is from RNAcentral.
AUUGAACGCUGGCGGCAGGCCUAACACAUGCAAGUCGAACGGUAACAGGGAGAAGCUUGCUUCUUUGCUGACGCGUGGCGGACGGGGGUGUAAUGUCUGGGGAACUGCCUGAUGGCGGGGGAUAACUCCUGGAAACGGUUGCUCAUACCGCAUAACGUCGCAAGACCAAAGAGGGGGACCUUCUGGCCUCUUGCCAUCGGAUGUGCCCAGAUGGGAUUAGCUAGUAGGUGGGGUAACGGCUCACCUAGGCGACGAUCCCUAGCUGGUCUGAGAGGAUGACCAGCCACACUGGAACUGAGACACGGUCCAGACUCCUACGGGAGGCAGCAGUGGGGAAUAUUGGACAAUGGGCGCAAGCCUGAUGCAGCCAUGCCGCGUGUAUGAAGAAGGCCUUCGGGUUGUAAAGUACUUUCAGCGGGGAGGAAGGGAGUAAAGUUAAUACCUUUGCUCAUUGACGUUACCCGCAGAAGAAGCACCGGCUAACUCCGUG